Molecule: ribosomal RNA, 251 nt
Filed under: uncultured bacterium
Lineage: Bacteria
Description: partial 16S ribosomal RNA
Rfam family: Bacterial small subunit ribosomal RNA
Source: RNAcentral
GACGGGGGGGGCAAGUGUUCUUCGGAAUGACUGGGCGUAAAGGGCACGUAGGCGGUGAGUCGGGUUGAAAGUGAAAGUCGCCAAAAAGUGGCGGAAUGCUCUCGAAACCAAUUCACUUGAGUGAGACAGAGGAGAGUGGAAUUUCGUGUGUAGGGGUGAAAUCCGUAGAUCUACGAAGGAACGCCAAAAGCGAAGGCAGCUCUCUGGGUCCCUACCGACGCCGGGGUGCGAAAGCAUGGGGAGCGAACAGG